UACGUAGGUGGCAAGCGUUGUCCGGAUUUAUUGGGUUUAAAGGGUGCGUAGGCGGUUCUAUAAGUCAGUGGUGAAAUACGGCAGCUUAGCUGUCGAGGUGCCAUUGAUACUGUAGGACUAGAGUACUGUUGAGGUAGGCGGAAUGGACGGUGUAGCGGUGAAAUGCUUAGAUAUCGUCCAGAACACCGAUAGCGAAGGCAGCUUACUAAAGAGUAACUGACGCUGAGGCACGAAAGUGUGGGGAUCAAACAGG
Molecule: ribosomal RNA, 253 nt
Filed under: uncultured bacterium
Lineage: Bacteria
Description: partial 16S ribosomal RNA
Rfam family: Bacterial small subunit ribosomal RNA
Source: RNAcentral